RNAcentral lists this unclassified non-coding RNA (331 nucleotides) under soil metagenome. RNAcentral describes it as "partial contains 5.8S ribosomal RNA, internal transcribed spacer 2, and large subunit ribosomal RNA". The stretch from base 1 to 121 matches the Rfam family "5.8S ribosomal RNA", at positions 35 to 154 of the family's 154-position model. The record is from RNAcentral.
GAUGAAGAACGUAGCGAAAUGCGAUAAGUAAUGCGAAUUGCAGAAUUUCCGUGAGUCAUCGAAUCUUUGAACGCACAUUGCGCCCCCUGGUAUUCCGGGGGGCAUGCCUGUUCGAGCGUCAUUUCACCACUCAAGCCUCGCUUGGUAUUGGGCAACGCGGUCCGCCGCGUGCCUCAAAUCGUCCGGCUGGGUCUUCUGUCCCCUAAGCGUUGUGGAAACUAUUCGCUAAAGGGUGUUCGGGAGGCUACGCCGUAAAACAACCCCAUUUCUAAGGUUGACCUCGGAUCAGGUAGGGAUACCCGCUGAACUUAAGCAUAUCAAUAGCGGAGGA